Molecule: ribosomal RNA, 497 nt
Filed under: uncultured bacterium
Lineage: Bacteria
Description: partial 16S ribosomal RNA
Rfam family: Bacterial small subunit ribosomal RNA
Source: RNAcentral
GAUGAACGCUGGCGGCGUGCCUAAUACAUGCAAGUCGAGCGAACAGAUGAGGAGCUUGCUCCUCUGACGUUAGCGGCGGACGGGUGAGUAACACGUGGAUAACCUACCUAUCAGACUGGGAUAACUUCGGGACACCGGAGCUAAUACCGGAUAAUAUAUUGAACCGCAUGGUUCAAUAGUGAAAGACGGUUUUGCUGUCACUUAUAGAUGGAUCCGCGCCGCAUUAGCUAGUUGGUAAGGUAACGGCUUACCAAGGCAACGAUGCGUAGCCGACCUGAGAGGGUGAUCGGCCACACUGGAACUGAGACACGGUCCAGACUCCUACGGGAGGCAGCAGUAGGGAAUCUUCCGCAAUGGGCGAAAGCCUGACGGAGCAACGCCGCGUGAGUGAUGAAGGUCUUCGGAUCGUAAAACUCUGUUAUUAGGGAAGAACAAAUGUGUAAGUAACUAUGCACGUCUUGACGGUACCUAAUCAGAAAGCCACGGCUAACUACGUG